This 132-nucleotide small nucleolar RNA is filed under the name Mus pahari (shrew mouse). RNAcentral describes it as "snoRNA (MGP_PahariEiJ_G0034509.1)". The record is from RNAcentral. Lineage: Eukaryota; Metazoa; Chordata; Mammalia; Rodentia; Muridae.
GUAUGGAUUGGAUUAUGGCAAGCCUAUUCUCCUGGGCCUUUCAUAAUGUCACAUGUCAAAGCAAACCAUGACCUUAGCCAAUUACAUACCCUCUGUCUAUAGGUUGCUAACACUGAUGUGAAUUGUCCAGUG